RNAcentral lists this non-coding RNA (32 nucleotides) under Rattus norvegicus (Norway rat). Lineage: Eukaryota; Metazoa; Chordata; Mammalia; Rodentia; Muridae. The record is from RNAcentral.
UGGCAGUUGGACUCAACGUCAAUUCCACGAAU